UGACCUCGGAUCAGGUAGGAAUACCCGCUGAACUUAAGCAUAUCAAUAAACCGGAGGA
RNAcentral lists this ribosomal RNA (58 nucleotides) under Trichoderma gamsii. Its description in RNAcentral is "partial 28S ribosomal RNA". The record is from RNAcentral. Lineage: Eukaryota; Fungi; Ascomycota; Sordariomycetes; Hypocreales; Hypocreaceae.